UACGGAGGGUGCGAGCGUUGUCCGGAAUCACUGGGCGUAAAGGGCGCGUAGGUGGCCUGUGGAAGUCUGCGGUGAAAGCCCGGCGCUCAACGCCGGGUCGGCCGUGGAUACUCUCGGGCUUGAGCUUACUAGAGGCAGAUGGAAUUCCGGGUGUAGCGGUGGAAUGCGUAGAGAUCCGGAAGAACACCGGUGGCGAAGGCGGUCUGCUGGGGUAAUGCUGACACUGAGGCGCGACAGCGUGGGGAGCAAACAGGG
Molecule: ribosomal RNA, 255 nt
Filed under: uncultured bacterium
Lineage: Bacteria
Description: partial 16S ribosomal RNA
Rfam family: Bacterial small subunit ribosomal RNA
Source: RNAcentral